This 330-nucleotide unclassified non-coding RNA is filed under the name soil metagenome. RNAcentral's name for it is "partial contains 5.8S ribosomal RNA, internal transcribed spacer 2, and large subunit ribosomal RNA". The stretch from base 1 to 120 matches the Rfam family "5.8S ribosomal RNA", at positions 35 to 154 of the family's 154-position model. The record is from RNAcentral.
GAUGAAGAACGCAGCGAAAUGCGAUAAGUAAUGUGAAUUGCAGAAUUCAGUGAAUCAUCGAAUCUUUGAACGCACAUUGCGCCCGCCAGUAUUCUGGCGAGCAUGCCUGUUCGAGCGUCAUUUCAACCAUCAAGCCCCAGGCUUGUGUUGGAGCCCUGCGGCUGCCGCAGCCUCCCAAAACCAGUGGCGGGCUCGCUAUCACACCGAGUGCAGUAGUUUACUCUUCGCUCAGGGCGUGUGGCGGGUGCUAGCCGUGAAACCCCCAACUUCUCAAGGUUGACCUCGGAUCAGGUAGGAAUACCCGCUGAACUUAAGCAUAUCAAUAGAGGA